This 253-nucleotide ribosomal RNA is filed under the name uncultured bacterium. Its description in RNAcentral is "partial 16S ribosomal RNA". It matches the Rfam family "Bacterial small subunit ribosomal RNA", at positions 524 to 776 of the family's 1533-position model. The record is from RNAcentral.
UACGAAGGGGGCAAGCGUUGUUCGGAUUUAUUGGGCGUAAAGGGUGCGUAGGUGGUUGUACAAGUCGGAUGUGAAAACCCCUGGCUCAACCAGGGACCUGCAUUCGAAACUGUACGGCUUGAGUACAGAGGGGGUGAGUGGAAUUCUCAGUGUAGCGGUGAAAUGCGUAGAUAUUGAGAAGAACACCUGUGGCGAAAGCGGCUCACUACUCUGCUACUGACGCUGAGACGCGAAAGCGUGGGUAGCAAACAGG